Molecule: long non-coding RNA, 540 nt
Filed under: Amborella trichopoda
Lineage: Eukaryota; Viridiplantae; Streptophyta; Magnoliopsida; Amborellales; Amborellaceae
Description: long non-coding RNA (ATRI_LNC003998)
Source: RNAcentral
UGACUGACCUUUCUUUCUUUGCGUUGCGAAGCUAGUGACUGUUUUCCUGUUUCGCUUGCUCUUUCAGUUCCAGUUUCACUCACCAGAGAUUUGAUGAGCCGAUCCCGAAAACAAGGAACCGACUCGAGCCAGACCCUUUUUUUGUCGAUAAAGCCAAGAUCGAUGAAAAAGGCGAAACCCUCUUUAUUGCCCUUUUUACGCCUAAAAAGGACAGGUACCCCUACCCUAAAAGGUAUAAGAAGAGGUACCUUUCACUCGGGUUUUCUGUUGUCGAGUUUGUCAGGCACUUUUACCUAUAUUCAAAUCCCACGGCGGUAGCUAACGCUCACUUGAUGGGCGAGAACGCUCCCUUCCUUAACUGCACAUUCAUUAAUGCUAUUCCACAUAGGACAACAGGAGCUUACCUAUUUUACAGCGAGAAGUUUACCGGCGGGAGAAUUUACCAGGAUAAGCGGUAAGAGCUCGAUGAACUCUCUUUCCGUCUAUCAGCCGCGCAAGCGAGGAGUUUUCUCUUACCUCUAUAACUCACGGACUGGAAAC